Molecule: ribosomal RNA, 545 nt
Filed under: Bacillus sp. (in: firmicutes)
Lineage: Bacteria; Bacillati; Bacillota; Bacilli; Caryophanales; Bacillaceae
Description: bacterial SSU rRNA
Rfam family: Bacterial small subunit ribosomal RNA
Source: RNAcentral
UCUUAUGAAGUUAGCGGCGGACGGGUGAGUAACACGUGGGUAACCUGCCCAUAAGACUGGGAUAACUCCGGGAAACCGGGGCUAAUACCGGAUAACAUUUUGAACCGCAUGGUUCGAAAUUGAAAGGCGGCUUCGGCUGUCACUUAUGGAUGGACCCGCGUCGCAUUAGCUAGUUGGUGAGGUAACGGCUCACCAAGGCAACGAUGCGUAGCCGACCUGAGAGGGUGAUCGGCCACACUGGGACUGAGACACGGCCCAGACUCCUACGGGAGGCAGCAGUAGGGAAUCUUCCGCAAUGGACGAAAGUCUGACGGAGCAACGCCGCGUGAGUGAUGAAGGCUUUCGGGUCGUAAAACUCUGUUGUUAGGGAAGAACAAGUGCUAGUUGAAUAAGCUGGCACCUUGACGGUACCUAACCAGAAAGCCACGGCUAACUACGUGCCAGCAGCCGCGGUAAUACGUAGGUGGCAAGCGUUAUCCGGAAUUAUUGGGCGUAAAGCGCGCGCAGGUGGUUUCUUAAGUCUGAUGUGAAAGCCCACGGCUCAA